GAUGAACGCUGGCGGCGUGCCUAAUACAUGCAAGUCGAACGCAGUGGGGACGGGUGAGUAACACGUGGGUAACCUCCCAUCAGAGGGGAGAACAUGUGGAAACAGGUGCUAAACCGAUACUGAUGGAUGGACCCGCGGUGCAUUAGCUAGUUGGUGAGGUAACGGCUAACCAAGGUCACGAUGCCUAGCCGGCCUGAGAGGGUGAUCGGCCACACUGGUACGGAGACACGGCCCAGACUCCUACGGGAGGCAGCAGUAGGGAAUCUUGGGCAAUGGGCGAAAGUCUGACCGAGCCACGCCGCGUGUAUAAAGAAGGUUUUCGGGUCGUAAAACUCUGUUGGUAGAGAAGCGGUAUCUGACCAAAAAGCCACGGCUAACUACGUGCCAGCCGCCGCGGUAAUAC
RNAcentral lists this ribosomal RNA (403 nucleotides) under uncultured bacterium. RNAcentral describes it as "partial 16S ribosomal RNA". It matches the Rfam family "Bacterial small subunit ribosomal RNA", at positions 28 to 526 of the family's 1533-position model. The record is from RNAcentral.